AGGAAGAUGAAGGUGGGAUUAUAGAAUGUAUGCAGCUGUAGUCUGGGAGGUCUGAUGUUAGGGAAAAAGAAGGAGGAAAGCAAGAUUAAAAAUCAUUCCUGGAAAUGCAAGAGAAAAUGUGCUGGAGUGGUGCUGUUAGUACCAGGGACACUGGACAAGAAAGAUAAGCAAGCCACUGCUGUCUGAUUCCUACAUAGCAGACCUUACUUCUGCUUCACUCAAGAUUGUUUUUCAGACCCCUAAUUCCAGCAGCCAGUUUGAAGACCCCCACAGAAGAGUGAGAUCAGCAGAAUACACCUCAUUCAUCUCCCUAUUCCAUGACUUCACUGUGCACUCUGGGACCAAUCAACAAUCUCCACACUUCAGUUCACUCCAAAACCCUUAAAAAUUUUAUCCUCAAAUUCUUCAGGGAGAUGGAUUUGAGGCUUCUUCCCAUCUCCUUGUUCAGUGACCCUACAAUUGAAUCUCUUUCUCUGCGCCAGCUCAGCAUCUUGGUGUAUUGACUUGCUGUUAAAGUGUUGGAUUCAUAAUUCUCACUUCAGGAAGACUGAAAACCAGACUUUAUUCUGCUAGAUCCCAAGAUAUCAAGGAAGAGGAAAAGGGAAGAGCCCCAGGCACUAUUAAACCACAGCUACAAUCACUGCCAUUUGAAACUUCCCACCAAACAACUUUACUAUUCUGAUUUAAUUUCAACUCCCAGGGAGAGUUAGUAUUAAGAGGAAGUACCUAUCAUCCAUGAUAAUCCACCAGCUCUGGGGGUUUAGAAGGGAAAGGAUGGAGGUCUCAGUGCUUGAGGCUAGGCUGACAGCUGAGCAGGGCUCCAGCUCACCUUAAUCUCACUCCUGUGGAUGCCUGCACUAGGGGCCUGAGCAUUCUCCCAGAUCUCUGCAUAGGAGGCUGCCCUUAGGCAUUAUUAAGGUGUGAAAGCAGCAAGAAAGAGCAGAAUUAAACUGCUUUUCUCUAAUGUAUCCUUUUACAGCCCAGUGUAUUUUGCCCUAGGCUAGCCUUUUCUUCUCCUUUCACCCUCCACAUGCCAGUCCGAGACAGCCUUUCUUCUCACAGGAAUUAUUGUAUUAUUUCUUAAAUUCUUUUUUUCUUCUCCAUGGCUUUUCUAGAGGAAACCUAACAGUGUGGGUUUAUCAAUCAUUUUGACAAGACUCUGAAUUCCACUGAACAGAUUUUUGAAUAAAAAUUAUGAACAAAGAAA
Long non-coding RNA from Homo sapiens (human), 1207 nucleotides. Ensembl annotates it as long intergenic non-protein coding RNA 1490. The record is from Ensembl. Lineage: Eukaryota; Metazoa; Chordata; Mammalia; Primates; Hominidae.